Molecule: ribosomal RNA, 361 nt
Filed under: uncultured bacterium
Lineage: Bacteria
Description: partial 16S ribosomal RNA
Rfam family: Bacterial small subunit ribosomal RNA
Source: RNAcentral
CCUACGGGUGGCUGCAGUGAGGAAUAUUGGUCAAUGGACGCAAGUCUGAACCAGCCAUGCCGCGUGCAGGAAGAAGGCUCUAUGAGUUGUAAACUUCUUUUGUACGAGGGUAAACGCAGAUACGCGUAUCUGUCUGAAAGUAUCUUACGAAUAAGGAUCGGCUAACUCCGUGCCAGCAGCCGCGGUAAUACGGAGGAUUCAAGCGUUAUCCGGAUUUAUUGGGUUUAAAGGGUGCGUAGGCGGGCGGUUAAGUUAGGGGUGAAAUCCCGAGGCUCAACCUCGGAAUUGCCUUUGAUACUGGUCGGCUAGAGAGGAGUAGCGGUAGGCGGAAUGUAUGGUGUAGCGGUGAAAUGCUUAGAGA